This 205-nucleotide ribosomal RNA is filed under the name uncultured bacterium. RNAcentral describes it as "partial 16S ribosomal RNA". It matches the Rfam family "Bacterial small subunit ribosomal RNA", at positions 1296 to 1500 of the family's 1533-position model. The record is from RNAcentral.
GAUUGCAGGCUGCAACCCGCCUGUAUGAAGUUGGAAUCGCUAGUAAUCGCGGAUCAGCAUGCCGCGGUGAAUACGUUCCCGGGCCUUGUACACACCGCCCGUCACACCAUGAGAGUCGGGAACACCCGAAGUCCGUAGCCUAACCGCAAGGGGGGCGCGGCCGAAGGUGGGUUCGAUAAUUGGGGUGAAGUCGUAACAAGGUAAC